This 25-nucleotide non-coding RNA is filed under the name Oryctolagus cuniculus (rabbit). Lineage: Eukaryota; Metazoa; Chordata; Mammalia; Lagomorpha; Leporidae. RNAcentral also lists the same sequence under 2 other names. The record is from RNAcentral.
GUAGCAGAGCAGCUCCCUCGCUGCG